RNAcentral lists this ribosomal RNA (254 nucleotides) under uncultured bacterium. RNAcentral describes it as "partial 16S ribosomal RNA". It matches the Rfam family "Bacterial small subunit ribosomal RNA", at positions 524 to 776 of the family's 1533-position model. The record is from RNAcentral.
UACGUAGGGGCCUAGCGUUGUCCGGAAUCAUUGGGCGUAAAGAGCUCGUAGGCGGUUCGGCAAGUCACGUGUGAAAUCUCCACGCUUAACGUGGAGGCGCCACGUGAAACUGCCGUGACUCGAGUCCGGUAGGGGAGUGUGGAAUUCCCGGUGUAGCGGUGAAAUGCGCAGAUAUCGGGAGGAACACCAGUAGCGAAGGCGGCACUCUGGGCCGGUACUGACGCUGAGGAGCGAAAGCCAGGGGAGCAAACGGG